This 492-nucleotide ribosomal RNA is filed under the name uncultured bacterium. RNAcentral's name for it is "partial 16S ribosomal RNA". It matches the Rfam family "Bacterial small subunit ribosomal RNA", at positions 29 to 507 of the family's 1533-position model. The record is from RNAcentral.
AGUGAACGCUGGCGGUAGGCCUAACACAUGCAAGUCGAACGGCAGCACAGUAAGAGCUUGCUCUUACGGGUGGCGAGUGGCGGACGGGUGAGGAAUACAUCGGAAUCUACUUUUUCGUGGGGGAUAACGUAGGGAAACUUACGCUAAUACCGCAUACGACCUACGGGUGAAAGCAGGGGAUCUUCGGACCUUGCGCGAUUGAAUGAGCCGAUGUCGGAUUAGCUAGUUGGCGGGGUAAAGGCCCACCAAGGCGACGAUCCGUAGCUGGUCUGAGAGGAUGAUCAGCCACACUGGAACUGAGACAGGGUCCAGACGACUAAGGGAGGCAGCAGUGGGGAAUAUUGGACAAUGGGCGCAAGCCUGAUCCAGCCAUACCGCGUGGGUGAAGAAGGCCUUCGGGUUGUAAAGCCCUUUUGUUGGGAAAGAAAAGCAGCAGGUUAAUACCCCGCUGUUCUGACGGUACCCAAAGAAUAAGCACCGGCUAACUUCGUG